Molecule: ribosomal RNA, 600 nt
Filed under: Lysinibacillus sphaericus
Lineage: Bacteria; Bacillati; Bacillota; Bacilli; Caryophanales; Bacillaceae
Description: bacterial SSU rRNA
Rfam family: Bacterial small subunit ribosomal RNA
Source: RNAcentral
AUCUGCAAGUCGAGCGAACAGAGAAGGAGCUUGCUCCUUCGACGUUAGCGGCGGACGGGUGAGUAACACGUGGGCAACCUACCUUAUAGUUUGGGAUAACUCCGGGAAACCGGGGCUAAUACCGAAUAAUCUAUUUUACUUCAUGGUGAAAUACUGAAAGACGGUUUCGGCUGUCGCUAUAAGAUGGGCCCGCGGCGCAUUAGCUAGUUGGUGAGGUAACGGCUCACCAAGGCGACGAUGCGUAGCCGACCUGAGAGGGUGAUCGGCCACACUGGGACUGAGACACGGCCCAGACUCCUACGGGAGGCAGCAGUAGGGAAUCUUCCACAAUGGGCGAAAGCCUGAUGGAGCAACGCCGCGUGAGUGAAGAAGGUUUUCGGAUCGUAAAACUCUGUUGUAAGGGAAGAACAAGUACAGUAGUAACUGGCUGUACCUUGACGGUACCUUAUUAGAAAGCCACGGCUAACUACGUGCCAGCAGCCGCGGUAAUACGUAGGUGGCAAGCGUUGUCCGGAAUUAUUGGGCGUAAAGCGCGCGCAGGCGGUCCUUUAAGUCUGAUGUGAAAGCCCACGGCUCAACCGUGGAGGGUCAUUGGAAACU